GCCGUGUAGACGACGAGCGCCGGCAGCAGGAAGACGAGGAUGUGCCAGCGCCGCGGGCGCUUGAUCUCGGUGACG
This 75-nucleotide small RNA is filed under the name Sinorhizobium meliloti 2011. Its description in RNAcentral is "putative ncRNA". The record is from RNAcentral. Lineage: Bacteria; Pseudomonadati; Pseudomonadota; Alphaproteobacteria; Hyphomicrobiales; Rhizobiaceae.